UUUCGGGGUCAGUAGGUCGGUCGUGCCACUGGUAUGAACUGGUUUUACUGAUUCCUCCCUCUUGAAGAACUGUAAUGCCAUUAAUUUGGUGUUGCAGGGAAUCAGGACUGUUACUUUGAAAAAAUUAGAGUGUUUAAAGCAGGCUUUAGCUUGAAUACAUUAGCAUGGAAUAAUGAAAUAGGACGUUUGAUCCUAUUUUGUUGGUUUCUAGGAUUGACGUAAUGAUUAAUAGGGAUAGUUGGGGGCAUUAGUAUUCAAUUGUCAGAGGUGAAAUUCUUGGAUUUAUUGAAGACUAACUACUGCGAAAGCAUUUGCCAAGGAUGUUU
This 326-nucleotide ribosomal RNA is filed under the name uncultured Glomus. RNAcentral's name for it is "SSU rRNA". It matches the Rfam family "Eukaryotic small subunit ribosomal RNA", at positions 639 to 969 of the family's 1831-position model. Lineage: Eukaryota; Fungi; Glomeromycota; Glomeromycetes; Glomerales; Glomeraceae. The record is from RNAcentral.